Molecule: ribosomal RNA, 561 nt
Filed under: bacterium enrichment culture clone OB78
Lineage: Bacteria
Description: bacterial SSU rRNA
Rfam family: Bacterial small subunit ribosomal RNA
Source: RNAcentral
CCUACGGGAGGCAGCAGUGGGGAAUCUUGGACAAUGGGCGCAAGCCUGAUCCAGCCAUGCCGCGUGAGUGAUGAAGGCCUUAGGGUCGUAAAGCUCUUUCGCCAGAGAUGAUAAUGACAGUAUCUGGUAAAGAAACCCCGGCUAACUCCGUGCCAGCAGCCGCGGUAAUACGGAGGGGGUUAGCGUUGUUCGGAAUUACUGGGCGUAAAGCGCGCGUAGGCGGACUAGUCAGUCAGGGGUGAAAUCCCGGGGCUCAACCCCGGAACUGCCUUUGAUACUGCUAGUCUAGAGUUCGAGAGAGGUGAGUGGAAUUCCGAGUGUAGAGGUGAAAUUCGUAGAUAUUCGGAGGAACACCAGUGGCGAAGGCGGCUCACUGGCUCGAUACUGACGCUGAGGUGCGAAAGUGUGGGGAGCAAACAGGAUUAGAUACCCUGGUAGUCCACACCGUAAACGAUGAAUGCCAGUCGUCGGGUAGCAUGCUAUUCGGUGACACACCUAACGGAUUAAGCAUUCCGCCUGGGGNNNNNCGGUCGCAAGAUUAAAACUCAAAGGAAUUGACGG